RNAcentral lists this long non-coding RNA (1715 nucleotides) under Mytilus galloprovincialis (Mediterranean mussel). Lineage: Eukaryota; Metazoa; Mollusca; Bivalvia; Mytilida; Mytilidae. The record is from RNAcentral.
CCCACCCCCGCCCCCCUGGAUCCGCCUAUGAUGAUUUGCGUUUUUGCGAACAAAGAAUGAGGCUAUUAAAUACAACUCUCAAUAUUCACAAAUGAGUUCAUUAUCUUUAAGAUUACUUUUUAUAAAAUAAUGAAUUAUUCGAAAAUAAAGAUUUAUAAUAAUUCUCAAGGUAGAGAUAACUGGUCAACUUUGGCAUGCCAACUCUUUUGAUUCUAGCACCACCUUAAGUAGACGAAAUGCACGACUGAAGUGAUAAAUUAUAAGUAUCUAGUAUCUUUGAUGAGUUUUUAUAACCACUUGUGGACGUUUCGUGGAAUUACCAGCUCAGUAGUAAGUAAGCACAUUUGUGUUCACAUGGAAUGCAAUUGAGAUAUCUAUGUUCUAUAAAGAGAAUUGUUUAUAUUAAAUUGUAUUACUCGAAACAAUCAGAUUAUUUGUUUAUCUCCAUGGAAAAGUUAAAUUAAAAAAAUACAGAAUUCCGAGGACAAUUCAAAACGGGAAUUACUGCAUAAAACGACAAAAUCAAAAGCUCAAACACAUAAAACGAAUGUAAAACAACUGUCAUACAGGCAUUUCCCAAGUCAGGAGCCUGUAAUUCAGUAGUUGUCGUUUGUUUAUGUGUUACAUAUUUGUUUUUCGUUCAUUUUUUUAUUUAAAUAAGGCCGUUAGUUUUCUCGUUUGAAUUGUUUUACAAUUUCGUAUCGGGGCCUUUUAUAGCUGACUAUGCGGUAAGGACUUUGCUCAUUGUUGAAGGCCGUACGGUGACCUAUAGCUGUUAAUGUCUGUGUCAUUUUGGUCUCUUGUGGACAGUUGUCCCAUUGGCAAUCAUACCACAUCUUCUUUUUUAUAUUUCCUCAUGUAGAAAAUGGUGGACUAAACCUGGUUUUAAUGCUAGCUAAACCUCUCACUUGUAUGACAGUCGCUAAACAUUACAUUAUAUUAACAACAAUGUGUGAACAAAACAAACAGACCUAAUAGGUAAAAAUAUCAAAAAUAAGGGUACAGUCACAUUGUGUUAUAAUCACUAUGAAAAAAAAAUGUCAACAUAAAAAAAAAUAACAGAUAUACAAACCACACAAGCCAAGAAAAAAAGAGAAGAAUAAAAUAAGAUUACCAAAGGACAACAUCACAAUGGCAGAAUGCAUCAGUACUGAGCCACGUCAAAAUUAUAUUACCAAAAAAUUGACAGAACAGUAAAAGUUAAUAAUUUACAAAACCAUAUUAAAAUGACACAAUAACACGUGAUGACAAACAACGUCAAUACAAAGAAUCUUAACCAUCAUGUAUUAUUUGUGAAGUUGAUACGUAAUAUUUAUCAACAAGGGUAUCUUCCGAUGAAAUUUGUUAGUAAAAGGACGAGACGUUCGUUGACAUAACUCUGGUUCACCAACUUUCUGCUUGACACUGGUGACGUUUUAUAAAGUCUGAGUAGCAGCUUCAACCUCUUGAAUACCAAAUGAGUUGGGAUAUGUAUAUCCCAUAUGCAGUUGAAGUUGGUAUAUUGCUACUAAGGUGGGGGAAAUUGAUAAUUUUGAAAUUGGAAAUCAUCUCGUUUGUCAUAGAUUCUGGUAAUAAAAUGACCGCUUGUGUCAAAUCGAGAUAUAGGUCUAAAAAUGGGCCAGAUGAAGCCCUAUCUGUUUUUCCUAAACUACUAGUUCUGAAGGAUUUAUUAAUGGAAUCCAAUCAGAAAAGCUUGAAUUUUUAAUGAAAAGAAC